UGGGGAAUUUUGGACAAUGGAUGGAAGUCUGAACCAGCCAUGCCGCGUGCAGGAAGAAGGCCUUAUGGGUUGUAAACUGCUUUUGCCAGGGGAUAAAAUAGCUGUGCGCAGCGAAUUGCAGGUACCUGGUGAAUAAGCCACGGCUAACUACGUGCCAGCAGCCGCGGUAAUACGUAGGUGGCAAGCGUUGUCCGGAUUUAUUGGGUUUAAAGGGUGCGUAGGCGGCCCUGUAAGUCAGUGGUGAAAUACUCCAGCUUAACUGGAGGGGUGCCAUUGAUACUGCAGGGCUUGAGUGGAGUAGAAGUAGGCGGAAUUGACGGUGUAGCGGUGAAAUGCUUAGAUAUCGUCAAGAACACCGAUAGUGAAGACAGCUUACUAUGCUUCAACUGACGCUGAGGCACGAAAGUGUGGGGAUCAAACA
Molecule: ribosomal RNA, 421 nt
Filed under: uncultured bacterium
Lineage: Bacteria
Description: bacterial SSU rRNA
Rfam family: Bacterial small subunit ribosomal RNA
Source: RNAcentral